CUCAAUGCAUAGAGCGGAUGCCCUGGCACUUAACUUCGAUGAAGGACGUGGCUAACUGCGAUAAGUUUCGGCGAGCUGUCAGCAAGCUAUGACCCGGAAAUUUCCGAAUGGGGAAACCCAAUUCGAUUUAUAUCGAAUUACUCCGCAAGGAGAGAGUUACUCGGCGAAUUGAAACAUCUUAGUAACCGAGGAAAAGAAAUCAUUAUGAGAUUCCCUUAGUAGUGGCGAGCGAAGAGGGAAAAGCCCAAACCAUUUUGUUUCGACGAGAUGGGGUUGUAGGACUUCGAUGUGAUCUAUAUUUUCUUAAUCAAAGGUCUUUGGAAAAAGCCACCAUAGAGGGUGAUAGUCCCGUAGGUGAAAAGAAAAUAAAAAUCUAGAAGUAUCCUGAGUAGGAUCGGACACGUGAAAUCCGGUUUGAAUCUGGGAGGACCACCUUCCAAGGCUAAAUAGGUUAAGUGACCGAUAGUGAACUAGUACCGCGAGGGAAAGGUGAAAAGACCCCCUGUGAGGGGUGUGAAAUAGAACCUGAAACUUUAUGCAUACAUAGACCAGGAGUCCCGCAAGGGAUGACUGGGUGCUUAUUGGAGAACGAACCAACGAGUUAGCUGUGUGGCGCUAGGUUAAGGGAGUAAUACCCGAAGCCGUAGUGAAAGCGAGGACGAAUAGUCCGUUUAGUGUCACAUACUAGACCCGAAGCCGGAUGAGCUACCCUUGGGCAGGUUGAACUCUAGGGAAACCUAGAGGGAGGACCGAACACACCAGUGUUGCAAGACUGGGUGAUGACCUGAGGGUAGGCUAGAGAAAUUCUUAUCGAAUUCGGCGAUAGCUGGUUCUCCUCGAAAUAGUCUUUGGGCUAGCCUUGGUUUCGAAACUAAGGGGGGUAGAGCUCUGUUUAGACUAGGGAGCGAAAUAAGCUUACCAAAUCUAGACAAACUUCGAAUACCCUUGGUGAAUUACCAGGAGUCGGACGAUGAUAGUCAAGUACCGUCGUCAAAAGGGGAACAGCCCGCACCAUCAUCUAAGGUCCCUAAUGAGAUUUAAGUGUUGAAGGAUGUGAGAUUACUUACACAACCAGGAGGUUUGCUUAGAAGCAGCCACCCUUUAAAGAGUGCGUAACAGCUCACUGGUCUACGUGAUUUCGCGCCGAAGAUAUAUCGGGGCUAAAAUCUCAACCGAAGAUAUGGACUUUACUUUUUAGUAAAGUGGUAGAGGAGCAUUCCUGUCAGCAACGAAGCAUAACUGUGAGGUUGUGUGGAGCGUCAGGAAGAGAGAAUGUUGGUAUGAGUAACGUUAGCCGGAUGAAAAAUCCGGCCGCCGAUUGCCCAAGGUUUCCCAAGCAACGAUAAUCGGCUUGGGGUUAGUCGAUCCUAAGGUUUAGCCGAAAGGCAAAGCUGACUGGAUAACGGGUUAAUAUUCCCGUACAACUUUGGAAUCGCCAGAGCAAAACUAGAAGGGAGCAGAAGUUGGUUAUUUCGACUUCGGUUGAAAUAAUUGACACCUGCGAACGGAAGGUCGCGCUAGAUUGGGAGUGACGCAGAUGGAUAACGUGAGCGUAUUAAUGAAUUUACGUGUAAACCAUAAAUUUAUGCUCUUAUAGGCAAAUCCGUAAGAGUUAGUGAGUGGUGACGCCGAAUACCCUACGCAAGUAGGACGAGUCGUGUGAGUUCAUCUGCCAAGAAAAACUUCAAAAUCGAGAUUCCAAAGUUAUCGUACCGUAAACCGACUAAGGUGGGCUAGGAGAGGAUCCUAAGGCGAUCGAGUAAUGCUUCCCCAAGGAACUCGGCAAAACAGCAGGCGUAACUUCGGGAUAAGCCUUGCCUUAUGGAUUAUUCAGCAAUGUUUAGUCUGUGAGGCCACAGUUAAAGACAUCGGGCGACUGUUUAUCAAAAACACAGGUCUCUGCAAAUUCGUAAGAAUAUGUAUAGGGGCUGACGCUUGGCCAGUGCCAGAAGGUCACGAGGAGGGGUGUAUGCUCCGAAUCUAAGCCCUGGUGAACGCCGGCCGUAACUAUAACGGUCCUAAGGUAGCGAAAUUCCUUGUCGGGUAAGUUCCGACCCGCACGAACAGCGUAACGGUCUGAUGACUGUCUCAGGGAAGUACUCGGUGAAAUUGCAGUAUCGGUAAAAAUGCCGAUUUAUCGCGGGAGGGCGAAAAGACCCCGUGAAGCUUUACUAUAACCUGGCAUUGACACGAGAUAUGUUUUGCGUAGCAUAUGUGGGAGACUUUGAUGUUCCGCUUCUGGGUGGGACGGAGUCGACAGUGAAAUACCACACUGAACUUAUUUUGUUUCUAACCCACGCAAAACGUGGGAACAGUGUUUGGCGGGUAGUUUAUCUGGGGCGGAUGCCUCCUAAAGAGUAACGGAGGCGCGCAAUGGUUGGCUAGCUUCGGAUGGAAAUCGAAGUGGUCGUGCAAACGCACAAGCCAGCUUAACUGCGAGACAAACAAGUCGAGCAGAUACGAAAGUAGGCGUUAGUGAUCCGAUAGUUACACGUGGGUGUACUAUCGCUCAACGGACAAAAGCUACUCCGGGGAUAACAGGCUAGUCGGGCCCAAGAGUUCAUAUCGACGGCUCGGUUCGGCACCUCGAUGUCGGCUCAUCGCAUCCUAGGGCUGGAGAAGGUCCUAAGGGUUUGGCUGUUCGCCAAUUAAAGCGGUACGCGAGCUGGGUUCAGAACGUCGUGAGACAGUAGAAAUUUUGGCUUAUACAAGCUAAAAAACGGCCAUUGCUGUCUAUAAAUUUGGCUAAAUGCUGGAAAAUCUGAGUAUUUCAUAUUACCGUGUCGUAAAGUUUAUGAUAAGGUGAAAAUAUAUGAAUGCAGACAAUCAGCAGGAAAGAUCAAAUGGUGGAUUAUAUAAUUACAUAGCAGGUUUUGUUGACGGAGAAGGUAGUUUCCAUAUUGCAAUUCAACGUAGAAAUUCAAUGCGUUUGAAAUGGCAAUUAA
RNAcentral lists this ribosomal RNA (2945 nucleotides) under Candidatus Peregrinibacteria bacterium GW2011_GWF2_38_29. Its description in RNAcentral is "bacterial LSU rRNA". It matches the Rfam family "Bacterial large subunit ribosomal RNA". The record is from RNAcentral. Lineage: Bacteria; Candidatus Peregrinibacteriota.